Mauremys reevesii (Reeves's turtle) is the source of this 463-nucleotide long non-coding RNA. RefSeq lists it as uncharacterized. The record is from RefSeq and is a predicted model, not a curated record. The transcript has 3 exons. NCBI's taxonomy places the organism in Eukaryota, Metazoa, Chordata, Testudines, Geoemydidae.
GCAUAGACCAGGCUAACAAAGUUUAACAAGGCUCAGACCAAGGUGCUGAGUGAAUUUAGCAUUGGUAAAAAGCACUGGAAUGAAACUCUGGAGAACCGAGUCCUCUGUUUAGCCCCAGAGCAGGUACAGCACAGGUAGGAGUGGUGCAAGCUUCACGCAUGCUGUACCCACCAAUGUACCUCAAGCCUGAACCUCGGAGAGACAACAUCCUCUGGAGACAGGGUGGGAGGAGCUCAGCUUUCAGACAGGAGCAUGCAUUUAAAGUUGAUGGCAACUGAUGACAGUCACAGAAGGGGAAGAGGAAAGGAAUUCGUCCCAGCCAAAAUUCACUGAGGAAGAAGGGACCCCUCACCCCAUACCUUCCUUUAAACACACAAAUAUGUGCACAUGGGCAAAAAUCCCACCGCCUCUUCCAUUCAUGAUUGUACAGAUCGCACCCCCCCUUUAGUGAUCACAUAACAUC